This 253-nucleotide ribosomal RNA is filed under the name uncultured bacterium. RNAcentral describes it as "partial 16S ribosomal RNA". It matches the Rfam family "Bacterial small subunit ribosomal RNA", at positions 524 to 776 of the family's 1533-position model. The record is from RNAcentral.
UACGUAGGGGGCGAGCGUUGUCCGGAGUUACUGGGCGUAAAGCGCACGCAGGCGGUCUGCUAAGUUUGGAGUGACAGUUGGUGGCCUAACUGCCAAAGUGCUUCGAAAACUGACAGACUUGAGGGCUUCAGAGGGACACGGAAUUCCGGGUGGAGUGGUGAAAUGCGUAGAGAUCCGGAGGAACACCAAAGGCGAAGGCAGUGUCCUGGGGAGUACCUGACGCUCAGGUGCGAAAGCCAGGGGAGCGAACGGG